GGUUCCAUAGUGUCGUGGUUAUCAAGUCUGCUUUACACAUAGGUCCUGGGUUCAAUCCCCAGUGGAACCA
Molecule: transfer RNA, 70 nt
Filed under: Hippoglossus stenolepis (Pacific halibut)
Lineage: Eukaryota; Metazoa; Chordata; Actinopteri; Pleuronectiformes; Pleuronectidae
Description: tRNA-Leu
Rfam family: tRNA
About the family: Transfer RNA (tRNA) molecules are approximately 80 nucleotides in length.
Source: RNAcentral